CCUGUUCUAACUGGCCAGCCGCCAUCUUGCAACAUGGAGGAUAGAUUGCAAGUGGAGCCAAGAACAAAAUACAGCUGACUCUGAACAAAUCCUUUUCGUGACUUCUGGAUAAAGGACAACUCAAGCCCCUCGUUCCAGUGGCAGUGGAUUGAUGUGCAGCUUCCUAUGUGAAGGCAGAGCACACGUCUGUCUCUGGAGCUUCCUAGAGUUGGUUCUAAAUGCAAUCACAAGGAUCCUUACAAAACAGACACAUGGAGAAGACAGAUACAGAGAAGGCAAUGUGAACACAGAACAGAAAGAGAUGUGGUUACGAGCCAAGGAAUGCUGACAGCCACACACAUUGGAAGAGCUUUAUUAAUGGAAGAGAAGAAGCACUAUGGAGAAGAUAAAAAGUUUGUGUUGCUAGGAAAUGACACCCUAAGGACAGAUUAUGGCUAAGAAGAGAAAACUAAAGGGAGAAGACUUAGCAGUGGGAUCCAUUUAAUGAAGAACCAAAUAGUCUUGACUCAAAAGGCCUUGUGAAAAUUCCUGCGUAAAAUCUGACAACCGCAAAUUACCCAAAAAGAUUUCUAACUUGGAAUCACUAAGGACAAAAACUCCUAUAUUCCUGAAGCCCUACAAGCUGGAACUGGACAACUCGAUGUAAAUUUCAGGAGACAACCCCCAUGCCUGAUGUGUGGGCCACUAAGGGAGUUUACCAAAACAUCCAAUGCCAUAACCAGAGACAUUCAAACUAAACCAAGAAAAUGUUUCAAGCUCAAAUCCAGAAAUCUUGUCAACUAACUGCCCUCUGAACUCAGAGACUGAGUUUAUAAUUUGUCCUAAGCCAUUAACCUUUGUUAAUAGCUUUUUUUUGUUUUGUUUAUUUUUUCUGGUUUGGUUCAUGAGGGCAUUUGUUAAGAAGCAUACUCUAAUCCCUUGGUAUAUCCUCCUGAUAGUUCCCAUUGUAAUCUCCCAGCUGCAUUCUCUCAAGGGUUUUGAAGGUGUAUUUGCAGCGAUUAGUGGUAUACUAGGUGGCCUCACUGUGAUUACUGCAACAACUGCAAGAUGACCAAAGGAAUGUGUCUUCCACAAGGCUGACAUUGUGACUUAUGAGUUUCAUGCUAAGACAAAGACAACCCUGCCAUGAUGAUGACUGACAGUAGUGCUGAUGCCAUAAAUUUUUAUCAAAUCCCUCAGUACAGGUUGAGUCUGAUCAAAAGGGGAAAGCUGUUCAGUAAAAUAUGUGGGAGGUCAUUGUUUUGGAUUAAGCUCCUGCACUAGGCCCCAACAGACCAGAUCAAACCAGAAUGGAGUCACUCAUGCCAGAUGCCACAUUGUCAAACUGAAUGUAAAAAUAGGUCACUUGUUCAAAAAAAAAAGGAGAUUCACAGUAACCAAUUGAAAGGGGCCCAGUCAACCUAAGCUCACAUGAUAAGGAAGUCUCCUCUAGUUUAACGUAUGCAAGGAAAGUAGCUUUGAAAUCACCAGUCCACUUUUUGUUUCUUCUUUCUGCUUUCUUCAGUCUUUUCCAUUAUAAAGCCCACACAUCUGCUCAGCUCAGUAGGGCACCUUUCUAUUUCAUAGAUGGAAUGUCACUUGAUUCAUGAAUCAUUAAUAAAAGCCAAUUUGAUGUUUAAAA
RNAcentral lists this long non-coding RNA (1621 nucleotides) under Homo sapiens (human). RNAcentral describes it as "uncharacterized LOC105375851, transcript variant 1 (LOC105375851)". The record is from RNAcentral. Lineage: Eukaryota; Metazoa; Chordata; Mammalia; Primates; Hominidae.